CCUACGGGAGGCAGCAGUGAGGAAUAUUGGUCAAUGGGCGUAAGCCUGAACCAGCCAAGUCGCGUGAGGGAUGAAGGUUCUAUGGAUCGUAAACCUCUUUUAUAAGGGAAUAAAGUGCGGGACGUGUCCCUUUUUGUAUGUACCUUAUGAAUAAGGAUCGGCUAACUCCGUGCCAGCAGCCGCGGUAAUACGGAGGAUCCGAGCGUUAUCCGGAUUUAUUGGGUUUAAAGGGUGCGUAGGCGGCCUUGUAAGUCAGCGGUGAAAGUCUGUGGCUCAACCAUAGAAUUGCCGUUGAAACUGGGAGGCUUGAGUAUGUUUGAGGCAGGCGGAAUGCGUGGUGUAGCGGUGAAAUGCUUAGAUAUCACGCAGAACCCCGAUUGCGAAGGCAGCCUGCCAAGCCAUGACUGACGCUGAGGCACGAAAGCGUGGGGAUCAAACAGGAUUAGAUACCCCUGUAGUC
Molecule: ribosomal RNA, 460 nt
Filed under: uncultured bacterium
Lineage: Bacteria
Description: partial 16S ribosomal RNA
Rfam family: Bacterial small subunit ribosomal RNA
Source: RNAcentral